GCAAACUUGGUCAUUUAGAGGAAGUAAAAGUCGUAACAAGGUUUCCGUAGGUGAACCUGCGGAAGGAUCAUUAUUGAAGUUUGAUUCAGAGGGCUUUUUCUCUGUAGCUGGUUCCUGUUGGGGGACAAGUGCUCGCCUUCUGUUCUUCUUUUUUCACCACUUGUGCACCUUUGUAGAUCAUGGGAUGACAUUUGAGUUCUUUUCAUGGCUUGGAAUCAGGAGUUUAAAUGCUGCUUCUGUGGUAGUUCCAUGGUCUAUGUUUUUAAUAACAUUUAUUAAAUAUUCAGCAUGGUCUUUAUUCAUUUAGGCAUUGUGCCUAUAGAAAUUAUAGUAAAACUUUCAACAACGGAUCUCUUGGCUCUCGCAUCGAUGAAGAACGCAGC
RNAcentral lists this unclassified non-coding RNA (383 nucleotides) under uncultured fungus. Its description in RNAcentral is "partial contains small subunit ribosomal RNA, internal transcribed spacer 1, and 5.8S ribosomal RNA". The stretch from base 1 to 73 matches the Rfam family "Eukaryotic small subunit ribosomal RNA", at positions 1759 to 1831 of the family's 1831-position model. The record is from RNAcentral. Lineage: Eukaryota; Fungi.